Molecule: ribosomal RNA, 452 nt
Filed under: uncultured soil bacterium
Lineage: Bacteria
Description: bacterial SSU rRNA
Rfam family: Bacterial small subunit ribosomal RNA
Source: RNAcentral
GGAACGAACGCUGGCGGCAUGCCUAAUACAUGCAAGUCGAACGAACUCUUCGGAGUUAGUGGCGCACGGGUGCGUAACGCGUGGGAAUCUGCCCUUGGGUUCGGAAUAACAGUUGGAAACGACUGCUAAUACCGGAUGAUGACGAAAGUCCAAAGAUUUAUCGCCCAGGGAUGAGCCCGCGUAGGAUUAGCUAAGUUGGUGAGGUAAAGGCUCACCAAGGCGACGAUCCUUAGCUGGUCUGAGAGGAUGAUCAGCCACACUGGGGACUGAGACACGGCCCAGACUCCUACGGGAGGCAGCAGUAGGGAAUAUGGACAAUGGGCGAAAGCCUGAUCCAGCAAUGCCGCGUGAGUGAUGAAGGCCUAGGUUGUAAAGCUCUUUUACCCGAGAUUGAUAAUGACAGUAAUCGGAGAAUAAGCCCCGGCUAACGUCCGUGCCGAGCUAGCCGCGGU